AUCUCGGUGGCGUAAUGGUUGCAUGCGUCUGUGGUAUGGAUAAAACGCGGGUUCGAUUCCCGUCUGAGGUC
Non-coding RNA from Parelaphostrongylus tenuis, 71 nucleotides. NCBI's taxonomy places the organism in Eukaryota, Metazoa, Nematoda, Chromadorea, Rhabditida, Metastrongylidae. The record is from the annotation of a GenBank genome assembly.